RNAcentral lists this ribosomal RNA (253 nucleotides) under uncultured bacterium. RNAcentral describes it as "partial 16S ribosomal RNA". It matches the Rfam family "Bacterial small subunit ribosomal RNA", at positions 524 to 776 of the family's 1533-position model. The record is from RNAcentral.
UACGUAGGCAGCAAGCGUUGUUCGGAGUUACUGGGCGUAAAGAGUAUGUAGGCGGUCUGCUUAGUCCGGUGUGAAAUCUCCCGGCUUAACUGGGAGGGAGCGCUGGAUACUGGCAGGCUAGAGUGCGGGAGAGGAAAGUGGAAUUCCUGGUGUAGCGGUGAAAUGCGUAGAUAUCAGGAGGAACUGCUGUGGUGAAGACGGAUUUCUGGACCGCAACUGACGCUGCGACACGAAAGCGUGGGUAGCAAACAGG